Molecule: ribosomal RNA, 477 nt
Filed under: uncultured organism
Description: partial 16S ribosomal RNA
Rfam family: Bacterial small subunit ribosomal RNA
Source: RNAcentral
GUACACUCCUACGGGAGGCAGCAGUGGGGAAUAUUGCACAAUGGGCGCAAGCCUGAUGCAGCCAUGCCGCGUGUAUGAAGAAGGCCUUCGGGUUGUAAAGUACUUUCAGCGGGGAGGAAGGCGAUAAGGUUAAUAACCUUGUCGAUUGACGUUACCCGCAGAAGAAGCACCGGCUAACUCCGUGCCAGCAGCCGCGGUAAUACGGAGGGUGCAAGCGUUAAUCGGAAUUACUGGGCGUAAAGCGCACGCAGGCGGUCUGUCAAGUCGGAUGUGAAAUCCCCGGGCUCAACCUGGGAACUGCAUUCGAAACUGGCAGGCUAGAGUCUUGUAGAGGGGGGUAGAAUUCCAGGUGUAGCGGUGAAAUGCGUAGAGAUCUGGAGGAAUACCGGUGGCGAAGGCGGCCCCCUGGACAAAGACUGACGCUCAGGUGCGAAAGCGUGGGGAGCAAACAGGAUUAGAUACCCGUGUAGUCCCAUG